This 422-nucleotide ribosomal RNA is filed under the name Verrucomicrobiota bacterium. RNAcentral describes it as "Verrucomicrobia bacterium partial 16S ribosomal RNA". It matches the Rfam family "Bacterial small subunit ribosomal RNA", at positions 355 to 776 of the family's 1533-position model. The record is from RNAcentral. Lineage: Bacteria; Pseudomonadati; Verrucomicrobiota.
UGGGGAAUUUUGCACAAUGGGCGCAAGCCUGAUGCAGCGACGCCGCGUGAGGGAUGAAGGCCUUCGGGUUGUAAACCUUUUUCGCUCAUGGUCAAGCCGCAGCUUUGGGUUGUGGUGAGGGUAGUGGGUAAAGAAGCGCCGGCUAACUACGUGCCAGCAGCCGCGGUAAUACGUAGGGCGCGAGCGUUGUCCGGAAUUAUUGGGCGUAAAGGGCUUGUAGGCGGUUGGCCGCGUCUGCCGUGAAAUCCUCUGGCUUAACUGGGGGCGUGCGGUGGGUACGGGUUGACUUGAGUGCGGUAGGGGAGGCUGGAAUUCCUGGUGUAGCGAUGGAAUGCGCAGAUAUCAGGAGGAACACCGGUGGCGAAGGCGGGUCUCUGGGCCGUUACUGACGCUGAGGAGCGAAAGCGUGGGGAGCGAACAGG